This 253-nucleotide ribosomal RNA is filed under the name uncultured bacterium. RNAcentral describes it as "partial 16S ribosomal RNA". It matches the Rfam family "Bacterial small subunit ribosomal RNA", at positions 524 to 776 of the family's 1533-position model. The record is from RNAcentral.
UACGUAGGUGGCAAGCGUUGUCCGGAUUUACUGGGCGUAAAGAGCGCGCAGGCGGUCGUUCAAGUCGCGUGUGAAAGCCCCCGGCUCAACCGGGGAAUUGCGCCCUAAACCGGGUGACUGGAGUGAGAUAGGGGUGUGUGGAACUUCCGGUGGAGCGGUGAAAUGUGUUGAUAUCGGAAGGAACGCCGGUGGCGAAAGCGACACACUGGGUCUCAACUGACGCUGAGGCACGAAAGCCAGGGGAGCAAACGGG